Molecule: long non-coding RNA, 334 nt
Filed under: Cricetulus griseus (Chinese hamster)
Lineage: Eukaryota; Metazoa; Chordata; Mammalia; Rodentia; Cricetidae
Description: lncRNA (ENSCGRG00015030409.1)
Source: RNAcentral
CAGAGCUUGGGUGGCUGGGUAUUUCAAAGUACUCUACCUCUACUUCAGGUUUCAGGUUCCCCUGAAUCAAGUGUGGACAGUCAUGGACACUGGUUGCCUGGUCUGUGAGAUGGGCAGUAGGAAGAUGUGAAAUUGUCUUGAGAUGGAGAGACUUUUUCCAGGAUGUACAUUCACGUACACUGGAUGGUGACUGCAGAUACGUUUCCUGAACUUGCAUGACUGCGGGAACGAGGUGGCCACGUGAGGGCAAGGAACAGAUCGGGUCCGGCCAAGGGCAAGUCCCAGCACACGCGCUCUUCAGCGUCGCCACACAGCUGACCCGGGCCCGCGUGGG